UAUAACAUUCCAUGUAGUAAUAAUUUUCGUCAACUUAUGUCAGUUCCCAGAAAGGUGAAAUAAUAUAAUCUUUGUGGGACUGGGAACCAUAUUAUCGGAAGCGUGGCCAAUGACUUUCAAGGUAUGUGUACUGUGGGCUCAUUUGCAUUGUCUAUUCUCACUAAUUACUAGUUUGAUGCUGAUAAAGCACAGUGUUAGUUGUUGCGUCCAUCUCACCGUUCGCUUUGAAUUGACGCCUCAGAUUUAAGAAUCUAUUGGGCUGGGACCCACCUCAUGGUUGUCUUCGUCUUUAAGCACGUAAUGCGAUCAAUCAAAUCAGAUUUAGAUAGUUUGGUGUUCGGCAGAAUGCACUGAACAUUUGGAUUCGUUUAGUUGGUUUUUUUUUUUUUUUUUGCAUUAUUAUUCAAUGAAUAUAAUGUAUAAUAAAAUAUAAUUAACUGCUAUUUUUAAAAAAAAAUAAAAUAAAUCUCACAAAAAUAGACUAUUUAAAUUACGUGCAUGCGCGCUUUAUUAUUAUCAUAGUAAGAAAAUUCAUAUAAAAAAUGAAUAGAAGCAAAUUCUAACUUGAUUUUGUAUACGACGCAGAUAAUAAUGUGAUUUUUUUAUUUUUUUUCCCAUAUAAUUCUUG
Molecule: long non-coding RNA, 628 nt
Organism: Neltuma alba
Lineage: Eukaryota; Viridiplantae; Streptophyta; Magnoliopsida; Fabales; Fabaceae
Exons: 3
Source: RefSeq, a predicted model, not a curated record